Non-coding RNA from Desmophyllum pertusum, 74 nucleotides. The record is from the annotation of a GenBank genome assembly. Lineage: Eukaryota; Metazoa; Cnidaria; Anthozoa; Scleractinia; Caryophylliidae.
GGCUUCAUAGCUUAGUGGUAAAGCGUUUGCACUGGAAUCGGAAAUAUCAUCUGAGUUCGAAUCCCCUGGAGCCU